Long non-coding RNA from Cygnus olor (mute swan), 2785 nucleotides. RefSeq lists it as uncharacterized. Lineage: Eukaryota; Metazoa; Chordata; Aves; Anseriformes; Anatidae. The transcript is spliced from 2 exons. The record is from RefSeq and is a predicted model, not a curated record.
GCUAGUGCUGUAGAUGUGUGUGUUACAAGUUCUGUCUCCUGUGCCAGAAAUAAUCCAUUGCCUGAGUGGACCCCUUAAAGCUACCUUGUGGGUUUGUCUCUGUUUCCUGUUGCUCCUGGGUGGACCUGGGACCUGAGUGAUUGCUUUGCCUUGCUCAGUACUGCUGAUAACUCCUGCUGCCAGUACCCUGCUGUGCUCAUCCUCAGCCCCUGGGAUGCAAUUGUUCCUUCCCAGCAGCCCCUUCAUGAUGGAUGGUGGUCGAGGAAGACUGAUGCUGCUGGAGCUAGCAGAGUUAUAGUGCCAUGCAGUCAAAGAACUUGGUGCUCUAGGUAUGUGGCUCUGAUGGGGAUGAGCGGAAAGUUUUGAAUUAAACUCCUGCUCCAUGGAUGAGAUCUGCAUUCUCUGGAGAUUCUUCAGCUGCUGUUGUGCUGAGACAAAGAAGAAACAAUUUCUGUGACUGAAGCAGUUAUGAAAAAGAUAAGGCUGGAAGGACCAACCAGAUUGGGAGCUCCUUUUGUCAUUCAGUUCUGACUGUGAAUAUUGUACAAGCUUAAAUAGAUAAGAAAGUCAAAAGGCAGGAAGAGGAAAUAUGCUCUGAACUUAUGCUCCUCAUAUAUAUAAAUCAAAGCACUUUGUGAAAACUGGCAGCAGUUUCACUGCAUUACUUAUGGAGGAAACUGAAUCAAAACAUGUUUAAGGCAAUGUGUGGAAGAUCGCAAGUGAUCAAAUUACUGCAGUUGUUCCUAUUUUGCAUUUUAAUGAACUGAGCUACCAUGGCCUGGCUGAUGAUCAGUAACUCAUUAAGCUGCACUAAGAAGAUCGUGUGUCAGCAUCCAUCCAUACCCUUAAACCAGUGGUUUUUCAAUUGGGACCCCUUAAUGUCAUCUGCAAGCUUCACAGGGGCUGGCGAGGACUAAUAAGCUGCCCUGAUGGACUGGCAGCUGGGAUGGAUGGGGGGUGCUGGUGCUUGAGAGCAGAGCUCUGGCAGAGCAGGGUGCUGCAGGAAUCUGCUUACUUGGAGCUUUUCUGCAGGGAGCAUGACCUGAACCUUGACUCCUUGGGUUUAUCUGGGCACGAUGAUGCUGCUCAAGCCAGGCUUCUGGCAGGGAAUGGAACCUGCACAACAGACAGCUGAGACAGUUGAACAGAAUGCUUCAAGUGUGCAAAGCUUCAUGCUGAAAGCCUGGGGAAGAAUUUGCACAGGGACCUAUUUGUGCAUAUGAAGCUGGGCAGAGAGCUUGUCUGACAGAAAAAAAAAAAAAAAGAAAAAAACACAUCAAGGAUAGAACAGUCACCAGAAAAUUGAUAGACAUGCCUGGAAAUGCCUUUAACCCUUAUUUACUGUAGGGCUUGUGGUUUGAAAAGCCUGGAGUCUCGUUUUGACUGUUUGGUCCCCACUGAAAUUACAGAGGUGGGGAGAAACCACCCAGCGAUCUGCACGGGCUCUGCCAAACAAGCCCAGAGGAAAGGGGUUCGUUCCUGGGCUUGCUGCGCAAAUUAAAAGCAGGCUUGGAGCUACCGUUUGUGCUCAUUCCUGUGACGACUGCGGUGGGAAAAGGGAAGGAAUGCACCACUGGUGUCCCCAAAGCCCGUGCUUCCAUGGUGCUGCCUUGCUGUAACUCCCAUGGGUGUGGAGUCCUAGUUAUUUUAUCAUGGGGCCCGACUGCAAUUUUUAUGACACCGGAGUAAGGAGGAGCAGCUCACUGGAGAUGAUGGCACUGCAGCCAGGCUUGCAGUUGUAAGCUCUUGACUCCAGGCAUCUCAAGGUGCCACCACCAUGCCAAGCCUCUCCUUGGGCUGUGCUGAGCAGGUGGAGGAGCCCCACGUGUCUGUAUUCGUGCAGAAAAGGACACUGAGGAAUAAGAAGCGUCUUGCACAAGAUUGCACAAUGUGGAGGAGCUGGCAAUAACAUGCAGGUCGCUGGCUUCCCGGCUGUCCUUGAGGCAGGUUGCUCAUGUGUUGUGGAGGGAGUCUGGUCUUGCUUGACACCAAAAUCCACAGGAGGAGGAGAAAAAGUAGGUGAUCUGUCAGUGAGAAGCUCCGCGGGGACAAUCAUUGUCUUGGAAGCUGCCUGGAUUUGAAGGAAGACCUUGUGGCUGAAUAUAUUCCUGUUUCCAAGGAUGUGAGAUCGUCAGCAGGGCUGGUAGUGGGGACCAAAUGUCAGCCUGCUCUGACCCUGAGCAAAAUGCUCUGGGCCUUGCUGCUGUGGUGCUUUGGAGCAGCAAAACAGAGCAUAAACGACUAAUUCCGAAUCCCAAGGACUAACUAGGGUAGGGUGUGGGUGUGUGUAGCCUGUUCCUAACUGGUGAACAGGAGAGAUCCAGGACAAGUGAUGGUUAUCUCCAUGCAAGUUGUCUCCAUGUAUGAUGCUGCUUUGGGGUCCUUCUUGUACCCAGCCCAUGUGAAAUCCAAACCGUUUCUUUCGUAAGCAUCUGGGAACCUUUCUGGUGCCACAGCUGUCUAGAAACUGCUGCGAAGUAGCUGUUUCCUCUCCUUCUGAGACAGAGGAGAGGAAGGAGGCUUGGAGCAAUGCAGCUCCCUCAUGGUGGCCUCCCAGGGUGGGGCAGGUUUUAACAACGUGCCAGAAUAUGUGGCUGUCCUUGGACAUGUUUAAUUUCCCAUCUUCUCGGCACUGGGAGCACUUGAAUUGCCCUUUAGCAGUUGGGCGCAGAAGGGGAAAGAUCAUUAACAUACAAAGGGCUCCUCUUUCAACACCAGCAUUGCGAACUUUCAUGAUUUUAGCUCUUUCAUCACAUUUGUACUGUUGUACUUGUUUUCUUUUUUU